GAUGAACGCUGGCGGCGUGCCUAAUACAUGCCAGUCGAGCGAACAGAUGAGGAGCUUGCUCCUCUGACGUUAGCGGCGGACGGGUGAGUAACACGUGGAUAACCUACCUAUAAGACUGGGAUAACUUCGGGAAACCGGAGCUAAUACCGGAUAAUAUAUUGAACCGCAUGGUUCAAUAGUGAAAGACGGUUUUGCUGUCACUUAUAGAUGGAUCCGCGCCGCAUUAGCUAGUUGGUAAGGUAACGGCUUACCAAGGCAACGAUGCGUAGCCGACCUGAGAGGGUGAUCGGCCACACUGGAACUGAGCCACGGUCCAGACUCCUACGGGAGGCAGCAGUAGGGAAUCUUCCGCAAUGGGCGAAAGCCUGACGGAGCAACGCCGCGUGAGUGAUGAAGGUCUUCGGAUCGUAAAACUCUGUUAUUAGGGAAGAACAAAUGUGUAAGUAACUAUGCACGUCUUGACGGUACCUAAUCAGAAAGCCACGGCUAACUACGUG
RNAcentral lists this ribosomal RNA (497 nucleotides) under uncultured bacterium. RNAcentral's name for it is "partial 16S ribosomal RNA". It matches the Rfam family "Bacterial small subunit ribosomal RNA", at positions 28 to 507 of the family's 1533-position model. The record is from RNAcentral.